This 607-nucleotide ribosomal RNA is filed under the name uncultured bacterium. Its description in RNAcentral is "bacterial SSU rRNA". It matches the Rfam family "Bacterial small subunit ribosomal RNA", at positions 338 to 961 of the family's 1533-position model. The record is from RNAcentral.
CCUACGGGAGGCAGCAGUGGGGAAUUUUCCGCAAUGGGCGAAAGCCUGACGGAGCAACGCCGCGUGGGUGAUGAAGUCUUUCGGGACGUAAAACCCUUUCAGCAGGGACGAACAAAAUGACGGUACCUGCAGAAGAAGCAUCGGCUAACUACGUGCCAGCAGCCGCGGUAAUACGUAGGAUGCGAGCGUUGUCCGGAUUUAUUGGGCGUAAAGCGAACGUAGGCGGUUUCUUAAGUUUGGUCUUAAAGACCGGGGCUCAACCCCGGGAGUGGACUGAAUACUGGGAAACUAGAGGAUGUUAGAGGAAAGUGGAAUUCCAAGUGUAGCGGCGAAAUGCGUAGAUAUUUGGAGGAACACCAGUGGCGAAAGCGGCUUUCUGGGACAUUUCUGACGCUGAGGUUCGAAAGCUCGGGGAGCAAACAGGAUUAGAUACCCUGGUAGUCCGAGCCGUAAACGAUGGACACUAGGUGUCGGGGGUAUCGACCCCCCGGUGCCGUAGCUAACGCGUUAAGUGUCCCGCCUGGGGAGGUACGGUCGCGAGACUGAACUACAAGGAAGUAGUACGGCGUGAGACGUGCCGAACGGACGACGACGAGGGGAGGUAAGG